Molecule: ribosomal RNA, 253 nt
Filed under: uncultured bacterium
Lineage: Bacteria
Description: partial 16S ribosomal RNA
Rfam family: Bacterial small subunit ribosomal RNA
Source: RNAcentral
UACGGAAGGGGCAAGCGUUGUUCGGAAUCAUUGGGCGUAAAGGGCGCGUAGGUGGUUCUGUAUGUCUAUCGUGAAAGCAUACAGCUCAACUGUAUUUUGUCGGUAGAAACUGCAGGACUUGAGGCUGGGAGGGGCUGGUGGAAUUCCCUGUGUAGCGGUGAAAUGCGUAGAGAUGGGGGAGAACACUCGUGGCGAAGGCGGCCAGCUAGACCAGUUUUGACACUGAGGCGCGACAGCGUGGGGAGCAAACAGG